UCCCCUCCCCUCCUCCCUUCCUCCCCCCCGUUUCUUCCUCUCUCUCCUCCCCCUCCAUUCUUCUCUCCCUCUCUCCCCUUUCCCUUCUCGCCCCUCCCCUGGCUUCCCCACCCCUUCCAGCUCUGCACUGGCUGAGGUUAUGGAAAUACAUAAAUAACACUUGAGCCUUGAUCACCACCUGGAGUUGGAGGAGACACAGCAGGACACAUUCACUAUAAGAAUCUGAAACAGAGCCUGUCAGGAGCAGUGCCAUCUAAUCCUUCACUGCCUGAGAGAAGAUGAGAGCUGCUAUUCCCACUUUAAAGAUGAAGAAACUGAGCCUAGCAGAGAUUGAGAAAAAACAAUCACACAACUAGGGAAUGGCAGCAUAACAACAAAAAUCCAGUGAAAUGUUUGUUCAGAUCCUUGCCCAUAUUCUAAAUGUUGUCUGCAGUAUUCAGUACAAUCAUGUUGGGGUGAUCAGAGCCAACACCGGGCCGUGGGGGCUACGAAGUCCGGCAGAGUCAAAGAAUGAGA
Molecule: long non-coding RNA, 516 nt
Organism: Piliocolobus tephrosceles (Ugandan red Colobus)
Lineage: Eukaryota; Metazoa; Chordata; Mammalia; Primates; Cercopithecidae
Exons: 4
Source: RefSeq, a predicted model, not a curated record